RNAcentral lists this unclassified non-coding RNA (290 nucleotides) under Mortierella sp. RNAcentral's name for it is "partial internal transcribed spacer region". The stretch from base 1 to 46 matches the Rfam family "Eukaryotic small subunit ribosomal RNA", at positions 1786 to 1831 of the family's 1831-position model. Lineage: Eukaryota; Fungi; Mortierellomycota; Mortierellomycetes; Mortierellales; Mortierellaceae. The record is from RNAcentral.
AAGUCGUAACAAGGUUUCCGUAGGUGAACCUGCGGAAGGAUCAUUCAUAAUAAGUGUUUUAUGGCACUUUUUAAAUCCAUAUCCACCUUGUGUGCACCGAAAACAAAAUAUUUUGUGAAAGUCCUUUUGGUCGUUGCAUAAAGAUUUAUCUUAUCACGACCAAAAGGCAACUUUCUCAUUCUUGUUUUUUUAACGCGUCUGAAAACCAAAAAAAAAGUCUGAAAAAUUUCAAUGAAAUGAAAAUUAUAAUAAUAUAAAAACAACUUUCAGCAACGGAUCUCUAGGCUCUU